RNAcentral lists this ribosomal RNA (200 nucleotides) under uncultured bacterium. Its description in RNAcentral is "partial 16S ribosomal RNA". It matches the Rfam family "Bacterial small subunit ribosomal RNA", at positions 157 to 353 of the family's 1533-position model. The record is from RNAcentral.
GGAAGAUUAAUACCGCAUAAGAUUGUAGUAUCGCAUGAUAUAGCAAUUAAAGGAGCAAUUCGCUAUAAGAUGGACCCGCGUCGCAUUAGCUAGUUGGUGAGGUAAUGGCUCACCAGGGCGACGAUGCGUAGCCGACCUGAGAGGGUGAUCGGCCACAUUGGGACUGAGACACGGCCCAGACUCCUACGGGAGGCAGCAUG